UACGGAGGGUGCAAGCGUUAUCCGGAUUCACUGGGUUUAAAGGGUGCGUAGGUGGGCAAGUAAGUCAGUGGUGAAAUCUCCGGGCUUAACCCGGAAACUGCCAUUGAUACUAUUUGUCUUGAAUACUGUGGAGGUCAGCGGAAUAUGUCAUGUAGCGGUGAAAUGCUUAGAUAUGACGCAGAACACCCAUGGCGAAGGCAGCUCGCUACGCCGGCAUUGACACUGAGGCACGAAAGCGUGGGGAUCAAACAGG
RNAcentral lists this ribosomal RNA (253 nucleotides) under uncultured bacterium. Its description in RNAcentral is "partial 16S ribosomal RNA". It matches the Rfam family "Bacterial small subunit ribosomal RNA", at positions 524 to 776 of the family's 1533-position model. The record is from RNAcentral.